AUAAUUAAUUAAAGUAUAAAUGAAUUUAUGAGAUAUAACUUGCAUAGUUAUAUAGUAUUCACAAUUAUAAUAUUUUAUAUCUUUUUUUUAAUAAAGCAACAUUAACAAGAUGUGGUUAUAACUUCUAAUAUAUUUAAUCUAUAUUAUUAAAAUUAAUUAAAAAACUAGUUAAGACAUACAUCAAUAACAUUAGUCAUAAACAUAUGUUUAUUUACAUCUAUUACUUGUCAUAUUUGUUUUACCUCUAUGUUUGACAUAAAACAAACUUAGUAAAUUCUAGUAAAAUGAUUUAAAGAAAACUUUCAAUAUGUUAAGCCAUAGAUUAUAAUAGUAUUUAUUCUAAUCAAAUAUGCACUGGGGACUUUUUGUAAAAUAGUACACAUAUUUCACAUAAUUUUCGAAAAAAAAACAUGUACUUGAUCAUUGUUUAUGCCUUUAUUCUGCAAGUGUGCAGUAAUAUAUGAAGUAUAUUGUGAGAAGUUUUGUGGAAUAGUUCUGUCAAGAAAGUAUCCCUAUAUACCUGUUACCUUUAACAUAGGUAGAAUGUUUACCAAUUGUUGAUAAAUUAAAUAAAAUAGAUAGCAUUUUAAAACCAUUUUAAACAAACUAUUAUUUAUAGUUUUAAAUAUUUUUUAAUGUUCCUACACCAUAUGUGUUAUGAUACCACUAUCCUUUAUCAUGGUGUGUACUAUGUAUGUUGGAACCCAAGACACCAAGUUGUACUAACAUACUUUUUUAUCACAGAUAUUUUGUGAUUUUGUUUUUUUUAUUAUUUUGUGGACAACUUUUCUACCAGGAAUUUUGCUCUAAUUUACAAUAAUCUCGUGAUUUUUAAAUGAAAAUCUGACUGGGAACAAAUAGGAAAAUGAGUACAAAAUAUUACUAUUUAAUACAUAAAUACUUAAAAACUAUUGGAAUAUAAUCACUUCCAGUGGCAUAGUCGAGAAGGGGGGGAUUUGGGUGUUUAAAUCCCACCCAUCCCCAUUGUUUUUUUUCCAUGUUUUAACUAAAUAAAUGUAUUCAUAUUAUUGUAUACUUUGUUAUUUUUACUGUAAAACUUGUGAAAUUUUUUUCCAUACUUAUGAAGAUUAGAGAUAUCUCUAAUCUUCUUGGUCAUAAUAUUAGAAAAUGCAUUAUAAGCAAAGUUUAAGAUACACUUGAAUCAUAUAUCUUAAAUAAAUCUUAAAUAACAAAUAACAGGAUUAAAUAAAUUAUGUUAAAUAUGUUUAUAUUGAGCACAUUAUCAUUAGUAAAUAACUUGAAUAAAAAACUUCUAAAACUUGUCCAGACACUAAAUAAUUAUUAUAACAAUUAUUAUUAUAUUGUAUAAAAAUUAUUUAAAUAAUUUAUCACAAUUUUUUAACAAACCAUGGAUUGUGGUUUAUGACUAUUUUAACAAGUGACAACUAAUUACAAUAUCAAUCAUUAAUUUGUUUAUAUUCGUAAAUGUGACUAUUUUUGGGAAAUAAUAAUAUAGCCAGAAGACGCUUUGAAACAAUUAGAAGUGAAACAUGAAAAAUAUGUUUGUUGU
Non-coding RNA from Cinara cedri, 1531 nucleotides. NCBI's taxonomy places the organism in Eukaryota, Metazoa, Arthropoda, Insecta, Hemiptera, Aphididae. The record is from the annotation of a GenBank genome assembly.